Molecule: long non-coding RNA, 493 nt
Filed under: Mus musculus (house mouse)
Lineage: Eukaryota; Metazoa; Chordata; Mammalia; Rodentia; Muridae
Description: long non-coding RNA chr11:105722274-105722767
Source: RNAcentral
ACUUUAUACGGGUGAGGAAAUUCAGUCUUCACAGCAGUCUAAGAGGAUAGCAGCAGUCUCUGCCUAAACAUUUUCUCUUCUGUAGCAGAGCCUGUUUGUUUCUUGAAUUAUUGUCAUAACUACUCUGGUUUCCAUGGAUGAAAUACAUUUCUUAGUUACUGUAAUCCGUUAGUCCCAAGUUCUGUCUUUUAGAAUAAUAUGACAUAAAUUGGCAUCUUCCUUAUUUGACAACACUUUAAAGAUUCUAGAAAGUAGUACUCAUGAUUUUCUCUAGAAAUAUGUAGAGACUUCGUUUAAAUCCUGCUUACUAUUAAGAGGAUCCUGAAGCUAUGUUGCUUAUCUCAUCUUAGUUGUACCAACUUGGACGUGAACCCAGACAUGGUAAUGUGGGCCUGUAAUUCCAGCAUUUGGGGGGCUGAGGUAGGAGGAUUGUGUGUUCAAUUACAGCCUUGGCUGUAUUGAAAGAUUCUAUCAGAAAUUGUUUUUAAUUACC